Molecule: ribosomal RNA, 474 nt
Filed under: uncultured bacterium
Lineage: Bacteria
Description: SSU rRNA
Rfam family: Bacterial small subunit ribosomal RNA
Source: RNAcentral
AGGACGAACGCUGGCGGCGUGCUUAACACAUGCAAGUCGAACGGAAAGGCCCGCUUGCGGGUACUCGAGUGGCGAACGGGUGAGUAACACGUGGGCAACCUGCCCUCAGCUUCGGGACAACUCCUGGAAACGGGUGCUAAUACCGAAUAUUGACCUUUGAUCGCAUGGUCGUGGGUUGAAAGUUUUUUCGGCUGGGGAUGGGCCCGCGGCCUAUCAGCUUGUUGGUGGGGUGAUGGCCUACCAAGGCGACGACGGGUAGCCGGCCUGAGAGGGCGACCGGCCACACUGGAACUGAGACACGGUCCAGACUCCUACGGGAGGCAGCAGUGGGGAAUAUUGCGCAAUGGGCGGAAGCCUGACGCAGCGACGCCGCGUGAGGGAUGAAGGUCUUCGGAUUGUAAACCUCUUUCAGUAGGGACGAAUUAAGACGGUACCUGCAGAAGAAGCACCGGCUAACUACGUGCCAGCAGCCGC